This 271-nucleotide long non-coding RNA is filed under the name Exaiptasia diaphana. RNAcentral describes it as "uncharacterized LOC110235625, transcript variant X2". The record is from RNAcentral. Lineage: Eukaryota; Metazoa; Cnidaria; Anthozoa; Actiniaria; Aiptasiidae.
UAAAACCAAACGAGGGUCCUUUUUUUAACNAUUUCCAUGUUUAAUGAGGAAUUUGAGCCCGAAAAUGGUUUACUAACAAGCAUACAGUAGCUUUGCGUCGAAAAAGAAGAGUACACAUGGGAAUGCAACUGUACUUACAGAAAAAUCAGCAGUAGAAAAUAAUGUUGUUUUAUGUAGGCGAAAAGAGCCNGUCAUUUGAAACAACCACCAGCUACUAGCAUAUUUAAAGCUUGNUGCACUUACAUCGCCCUGGCUAACGGAUNUUCAGAAU